This 349-nucleotide long non-coding RNA is filed under the name Lotus japonicus. RNAcentral's name for it is "long non-coding RNA (LJAP_LNC001324)". The record is from RNAcentral. Lineage: Eukaryota; Viridiplantae; Streptophyta; Magnoliopsida; Fabales; Fabaceae.
UAAAUUAGCAUUUAACACCUUUAUCUCUUGGACAAAAAUAACCUUUCUCUAAUGCUUAAAAAGAACUUCACCUACUGGACAAUUAGUAAUUGGGCUCUCCCUUAUUUAUUUAUUUCUAAAAACCUGUGUUGCUUUUUGUUUUCUCUCUCAUGCUUAACUUUCUUCAAGCUUCCUUCCCCAAGUACAUGUCCCACAUCUGCAACUUACUUCACCAUUUUUUUUAAGAAUGCGGUUCAUGUUGUCUGUAUUGUGUGAUGUUUCUUCCCCUUCCAUUAGACUUCAACUCCACCCAUCCAAAAACAUUUCUAGGUUACCAUAUAUUCUUCCUACCACGCUAUUUCUUUCUUGU